This 380-nucleotide unclassified non-coding RNA is filed under the name uncultured bacterium. RNAcentral's name for it is "contains 16S-23S intergenic spacer region". The record is from RNAcentral.
UCCGGUUUGGCACCGGCAGUCCUCCCAGAGUCCUCGGCGUGACCCGGUAGCAACUGGGAGCGGGGGUUGCGCUCGUUGCGGGACUUAACCCAACAUCUCACGACACGAGCUGACGACAGCCAUGCAGCACCUGUGCAGGGACUCCGAAGAGGGGUCCUGGUUUCUCAGAGCUUUCCCCUGCAUGUCAAGCCCAGGUAAGGUUCUUCGCGUUGCAUCGAAUUAAUCCACAUCAUCCACCGCUUGUGCGGGUCCCCGUCAAUUCCUUUGAGUUUUAACCUUGCGGCCGUAGUCCCCAGGCGGAGCACUUAAUGCGUUAGCGGCGGCACCGCAGGGGUCAAUACCCGCGACACCUAGUGCUCAUCGUUUACAGCGUGGACUAC